AGAGUUUGAUCAUGGCUCAGGACGAACGCUGGCGGCGUGCUUAACACAUGCAAGUGGAGCGACGAACCGGGCUUCGGCCCGGGGCAAAGCCGCGAACGGGUGAGUAUCACGUGGGUAACCUGCCCCGAUGACCGGGACAACCCGAGGAAACUCGGGCUAAUACCGGAUGUGCUCUCCCCACAUCAGUGGGGCGAGUAAAGGAAGCUUCGGCCUCCGCAUUGGGAUGGGCCCGCGGCCCAUUAGCUUGUUGGUGAGGUAACGGCUCACCAAGGCUGCGAUGGGUAGCUGGUCUGAGAGGACGAUCAGCCACACUGGGACUGAGACACGGCCCAGACUCCUACGGGAGGCAGCAGUGGGGAAUCUUGCGCAAUGCGCGAAAGCGUGACGCAGCAACGCCGCGUGAGGGAAGAAGGCCUUCGGGUUGUAAACCUCUUUCAGGAGGGACGAAGGUUCAGGCGCGAAUAGCGUCCUGGACUGACGGUACCUCCAGAAGAAGCCCCGGCUAACUACGUGCCAGCAGCCGCGGUAAUACGUAGGGGGCUAGCGUUGUCCGGAAUCAUUGGGCGUAAAGCGCGCGUAGGCGGCCCGGUAAGUCCGCUGUGAAAGUCAAAGGCUCAACCUUUGAAUGUCAGCGGAUACUGCCGGGCUAGAGUCCGGAAGAGGCGAGUGGAACUCCUGGUGUAGCGGUGGAAUGCGCAGAUAUCAGGAAGAACACCAACGGCGAAGGCAGCUCGCUGGGACGGAACUGACGCUAAGGCGCGAAAGCGUGGGGAGCGAACAGGAUUAGAUACCCUAGUAGUCC
Molecule: ribosomal RNA, 802 nt
Filed under: uncultured bacterium
Lineage: Bacteria
Description: bacterial SSU rRNA
Rfam family: Bacterial small subunit ribosomal RNA
Source: RNAcentral